This 74-nucleotide transfer RNA is filed under the name Leucobacter rhizosphaerae. RNAcentral describes it as "Leucobacter sp. H25R-14 tRNA-Leu". It matches the Rfam family "tRNA". Rfam says of the family: Transfer RNA (tRNA) molecules are approximately 80 nucleotides in length. Lineage: Bacteria; Bacillati; Actinomycetota; Actinomycetes; Micrococcales; Microbacteriaceae. The record is from RNAcentral.
CCCCCCAUAGCCCAAUUGGCAGAGGCACCCGACUUAAAAUCGGUUCAGUCUGGGUUCGAGUCCCAGUGGGGGAC